RNAcentral lists this ribosomal RNA (603 nucleotides) under uncultured bacterium. RNAcentral's name for it is "bacterial SSU rRNA". It matches the Rfam family "Bacterial small subunit ribosomal RNA", at positions 9 to 610 of the family's 1533-position model. The record is from RNAcentral.
GAGUUGAUCCUGGCUCAGAUGAACGCUAGCGGAAGGCCUAAUACAUGCAAGUCGAGGGGUAACAGGGGAGCUUGCUCCCGCUGACGACCGGCGCACGGGUGAGUAACGCGUACGUAACCUGCCUUCAAGAGAGGGAUAGCCCCGGGAAACUGGGAUUAAUACCUCAUGGUGUCAUAAAGCCGCAUGGUUUAAUGAUUAAAGCUCCGGCGCUUGAAGAUGGGCGUGCGUUCUAUUAGAUAGUUGGUGAGGUAACGGCUCACCAAGUCAGCGAUAGAUAGGGGGCGUGAGAGCGUGGUCCCCCACACGGGUACUGAGACACGGACCCGACUCCUACGGGAGGCAGCAGUAAGGAAUAUUGGACAAUGGGCGCAAGCCUGAUCCAGCCAUUCCGCGUGCAGGAUGACGGCCCUCGGGGUUGUAAACUGCUUUUAUUUGGGAAGAAACCCUGGGAUUUAUCCCGGGCUGACGGUACCAAAAGAAUAAGCACCGGCUAAUUCCGUGCCAGCAGCCGCGGUAAUACGGAAGGUGCAAGCGUUAUCCGGAAUCACUGGGUUUAAAGGGUGCGUAGGCGGUUACGUCAGUCAGAAGUGAAGCUCACAGCUU